Molecule: ribosomal RNA, 926 nt
Filed under: uncultured bacterium
Lineage: Bacteria
Description: bacterial SSU rRNA
Rfam family: Bacterial small subunit ribosomal RNA
Source: RNAcentral
AGAGUUUGAUCCUGGCUCAGGACUAACGCUGGCGGCGUGCCUAACACAUGCAAGUCGAACGAGCUUAUAUUUGAUAGCAAUAUUGAGUAUGAGCAAGUGGCGAACGGGUGAGUAACACGUAGGUAAUCUAGCCAUGGAACGGGAACAACCCAGGGAAACUUGGGCUAAUGCCCGAUAAGACCACGACCCGGGAGGGUUGCGGGAAAAGGCGGGGUAGCAAUAUCUCGCGUCUAUGGGUGAGCCUGCGGCCUAUCAGCUAGUUGGCAGGGUAAAAGCCUACCAAGGCGAAGACGGGUAGCCGGCCUGAGAGGGUGAACGGCCACACUGGGACUGAGACACGGCCCAGACUCCUACGGGAGGCAGCAGUGAGGAAUUUUCCGCAAUGGGCCCAAGCCUGACGGAGCGACGCCGCGUGAGGGAUGAAGGCUUUCGGGUUGUAAACCUCUUUUGUGGGGGAAAAAGGUUUUCAUGCUCAUACCAUGAGAAUUUGAUGGUACUCCAUGAAUAAGCCCCGGCUAACUACGUGCCAGCAGCCGCGGUUAUACGUAGGGGGCGAGCGUUGUCCGGAGUUACUGGGCGUAAAGGGCGUGUAGGCGGUUGGAUAAGUCUGGCGUGAAAUCCCAUGGCUCAACCAUGGAACUGCGCUGGAAACUGUCUGACUGGAGUUCGGUAGGGGUGACUGGAAUCCCCGGUGUAACGGUGAAAUGUAUAGAUAUCGGGGGGAACACCUGUGGCGAAGGCGGGUCACUGGGCCGCAACUGACGCUGAGACGCGAAAGCGUGGGGAGCAAACAGGAUUAGAUACCCUGGUAGUCCACGCUGUAACGAUGAGUGCUAGGUGUAGGGGGUAUCGACUCCUUCUGUGCCGCAGUACACAAUAAGCACUCGCCUGGGGAGUACGGUCGCAGAUAAACUCAAGGAUGACGG